GACGAACGCUGGCGGCGUGCUUAACACAUGCAAGUCGAACGAUGAAGCCGGAGCUUGCUCUGGUGAAUUAGUGGCGAACGGGUGAGUAACACGUGAGUAACCUGCCCUUGACUCUGGGAUAACUGCGGGAAACUGUAGCUAAUACCGGAUACGACCCUCGGAGGCAUCUCCUGGGGGUGGAAAGAAUUUCGGUCAAGGAUGGACUCGCGGCCUAUCAGCUAGUUGGUGGGGUAAAGGCUUACCAAGGCGACGACGGGUAGCCGGCCUGAGAGGGUGACCGGCCACACUGGGACUGAGACACGGCCCAGACUCCUACGGGAGGCAGCAGUGGGGAAUAUUGCACAAUGGGCGCAAGCCUGAUGCAGCAACGCCGCGUGAGGGAUGACGGCCUUCGGGUUGUAAACCUCUUUUAGCAGGGAAGAAGCGAAAGUGGCGGUACCUGCAGAAAAAGCACCGGCUAACUACGUGCCAGCCGCCGCGGUAA
Molecule: ribosomal RNA, 484 nt
Filed under: uncultured bacterium
Lineage: Bacteria
Description: partial 16S ribosomal RNA
Rfam family: Bacterial small subunit ribosomal RNA
Source: RNAcentral